UUCCUCAUGCAGCUGCCUUGUGAGUAAACUCUCUCUCUGCUGCAAGCUUGCCGUCUCAGUGUUUGGCUUUCUGGGCGGCGGGCAAAAAUGAACCUGGCUCAGUAACACUAUUAACAGUGUCCCUUAAAUCUCUCUGGAAAGAAGGAAGGAUGAUUACAUUCACCAGUUUCCAUCUCUGCUUGCUUGUGCUCCUUGAGGGCAUCUGUGAGGCCCGGGAUUCCUCACCGCCUAUCAGAGAGAAGAACCCACAGCGGGUAGAGGAAAUGUCUUCCUCCCCUACAAUACCAUGCAUCGUUGACUGAAGUGUCAUUAGGCGGCACAUGACUGUAGAAGGUGAAUUUAAUUCGUUCUCCGGCCAGACGAACCCACUUUGGAUAGAGGAAAUGUCUUCCUCCCCUACACUUCCAAGAAGCAUUUCUUGUCCCCUUUCCCAACCUACUUCUGAUGCUGGCUCGGUGAGUCGAGGAGUGGAAGGAAAGAUUUCUUGGACUCUCAAGUUCUGGCUGUAGUGA
Molecule: long non-coding RNA, 512 nt
Filed under: Equus asinus (donkey)
Lineage: Eukaryota; Metazoa; Chordata; Mammalia; Perissodactyla; Equidae
Description: lncRNA (ENSEASG00005037924.1)
Source: RNAcentral